RNAcentral lists this ribosomal RNA (497 nucleotides) under uncultured bacterium. RNAcentral describes it as "partial 16S ribosomal RNA". It matches the Rfam family "Bacterial small subunit ribosomal RNA", at positions 28 to 507 of the family's 1533-position model. The record is from RNAcentral.
GAUGAACGCUGGCGGCGUGCCUAAUACAUGCAAGUCGAGCGAACGGACGAGAAGCUUGCUUUUCUGAUGUUAGCGGCGGACGGGUGAGUAACACGUGGAUAACCUACCUAUAAGACUGGGAUAACUUCGGGAAACCGGAGCUAAUACCGGAUCAUAUUUUGAACCGCAUGGUUCAAAAGUGAAAGACGGUCUUGCUGUCACUUAUAGAUGGAUCCGCGCUGCAUUAGCUAGUUGGUAAGGUAACGGCUUACCAAGGCAACGAUGCAUAGCCGACCUGAGAGGGUGAUCGGCCACACUGGAACUGAGACACGGUCCAGACUCCUACGGGAGGCAGCAGUAGGGAAUCUUCCGCAAUGGGCGAAAGCCUGACGGAGCAACGCCGCGUGAGUGAUGAAGGUCUUCGGAUCGUAAAACUCUGUUAUUAGGGAAGAACAUAUGUGUAAGUAACUGUGCACAUCUUGACGGUACCUAAUCAGAAAGCCACGGCUAACUACGUG